AGAGCACUACGUUGACAUCGUAGGGGUCACAAGUUCGAAUCUUGUCGCGCCCACCA
This 56-nucleotide transfer RNA is filed under the name Oceanicaulis sp. RNAcentral describes it as "tRNA-Ser". It matches the Rfam family "tRNA", at positions 20 to 71 of the family's 71-position model. Rfam says of the family: Transfer RNA (tRNA) molecules are approximately 80 nucleotides in length. Their secondary structure includes four short double-helical elements and three loops (D, anti-codon, and T loops). Further hydrogen bonds mediate the characteristic L-shaped molecular structure. tRNAs have two regions of fundamental functional importance: the anti-codon, which is responsible for specific mRNA codon recognition, and the 3' end, to which the tRNAs corresponding amino acid is attached (by aminoacyl-tRNA synthetases). tRNAs cope with the degeneracy of the genetic code in two manners: having more than one tRNA (with a specific anti-codon) for a particular amino acid; and 'wobble' base-pairing, i.e. permitting non-standard base-pairing at the 3rd anti-codon position. The record is from RNAcentral. Lineage: Bacteria; Pseudomonadati; Pseudomonadota; Alphaproteobacteria; Maricaulales; Maricaulaceae.